GAGCGGACAGAUGGGAGCUUGCUCCCUGAUGUUAGCGGCGGACGGGUGAGUAACACGUGGGUAACCUGCCUGUAAGACUGGGAUAACUCCGGGAAACCGGGGCUAAUACCGGAUGGUUGUCUGAACCGCAUGGUUCAGACAUAAAAGGUGGCUUCGGCUACCACUUACAGAUGGACCCGCGGCGCAUUAGCUAGUUGGUGAGGUAACGGCUCACCAAGGCGACGAUGCGUAGCCGACCUGA
This 241-nucleotide ribosomal RNA is filed under the name Bacillus velezensis. RNAcentral's name for it is "partial 16S ribosomal RNA". It matches the Rfam family "Bacterial small subunit ribosomal RNA", at positions 64 to 295 of the family's 1533-position model. The record is from RNAcentral. Lineage: Bacteria; Bacillati; Bacillota; Bacilli; Caryophanales; Bacillaceae.